GUACACUCCUGCGGGAGGCAGCAGUGGGGAAUUUUGGACAAUGGGCGAAAGCCUGAUCCAGCAAUGCCGCGUGAGUGAAGAAGGCCUUCGGGUUGUAAAGCUCUUUUGUCAGGGAAGAAACGGUGAAAGCUAAUAUCUUUUGCUAAUGACGGUACCUGAAGAAUAAGCACCGGCUAACUACGUGCCAGCAGCCGCGGUAAUACGUAGGGUGCAAGCGUUAAUCGGAAUUACUGGGCGUAAAGCGUGCGCAGGCGGUUUUGUAAGUCUGAUGUGAAAUCCCCGGGCUCAACCUGGGAAUUGCAUUGGAGACUGCAAGGCUAGAAUCUGGCAGAGGGGGGUAGAAUUCCACGUGUAGCAGUGAAAUGCGUAGAUAUGUGGAGGAACACCGAUGGCGAAGGCAGCCCCCUGGGUCAAGAUUGACGCUCAUGCACGAAAGCGUGGGGAGCAAACAGGAUUAGAUACCCCGGUAGUCCCAUGA
Molecule: ribosomal RNA, 478 nt
Filed under: uncultured organism
Description: partial 16S ribosomal RNA
Rfam family: Bacterial small subunit ribosomal RNA
Source: RNAcentral